GACGAACGCUGGCGGCGUGCUUAACACAUGCAAGUCGAACGGAAAGGCCCUGCUUGCAGGGUACUCGAGUGGCGAACGGGUGAGUAACACGUGGGUGAUCUGCCCUGCACUUCGGGAUAAGCCUUGGAAACUGGGUCUAAUACCGGAUAGGAGCCAUUUUUAGUGUGAUGGUUGUAAAGUUUUUUCGGUGUAGGAUGAGCUCGCGGCCUAUCAGCUUGUUGGUGGGGUAAUGGCCUACCAAGGCGGCGACGGGUAGCCGGCCUGAGAGGGUGGACGGCCCCAUUGGGACUGAGAUACGGCCCCGACUCCUACGGGAGGCAGAAGUGGGGAAUAUUGCACAAUGGGCGCAAGCCUGAUGCAGCGACGACGCGUGGGGGAUGACGGACUUCGGGUUGUAAACUACUUUCGCUAGGGACGAAGCUAUUUGUGACGGUACCUAGAUAAGAAGCACCGGCUAACUACGUG
RNAcentral lists this ribosomal RNA (465 nucleotides) under uncultured bacterium. RNAcentral's name for it is "partial 16S ribosomal RNA". It matches the Rfam family "Bacterial small subunit ribosomal RNA", at positions 28 to 507 of the family's 1533-position model. The record is from RNAcentral.